AUUGAACGCUGGCGGCAUGAUUUACACAUGCAAGUCGAACGGUAACAGGCCGCAAGGUGCUGACGAGUGGCGAGCGGGUGAGUAAUGCAUCGGAACGUGCCCAGUCGUGGGGGAUAACUACUCGAAAGAGUAGCUAAUACCGCAUACGAUCUAUGGAUGAAAGCGGGGGACCGUAAGGCCUCGCGCGAUUGGAGCGGCCGAUGUCAGAUUAGGUAGUUGGUGGGGUAAAGGCUCACCAAGCCAACGAUCUGUAGCUGGUCUGAGAGGACGACCAGCCACACUGGGACUGAGACACGGCCCAGACUCCUACGGGAGGCAGCAGUGGGGAAUUUUGGACAAUGGGCGCAAGCCUGAUCCAGCAAUGCCGCGUGCAGGAAGAAGGCCUUCGGGUUGUAAACUGCUUUUGUACGGAACGAAACGGCUCUGGUUAAUACCCGGGGCUAAUGACGGUACCGUAAGAAUAAGCACCGGCUAACUACGUG
This 482-nucleotide ribosomal RNA is filed under the name uncultured bacterium. RNAcentral's name for it is "partial 16S ribosomal RNA". It matches the Rfam family "Bacterial small subunit ribosomal RNA", at positions 30 to 507 of the family's 1533-position model. The record is from RNAcentral.